Molecule: ribosomal RNA, 737 nt
Filed under: uncultured eukaryote
Lineage: Eukaryota
Description: bacterial SSU rRNA
Rfam family: Eukaryotic small subunit ribosomal RNA
Source: RNAcentral
UGGACUGGCCGCCAGGGUCCGGAAGAGGAGCGAGUUCACUCGAUCAUCUACGUUACGUGGGUGGUGGGGAGCGACGAGCUCUGGGUUACUGUGAAGAAAUUAGAGUGUUUAAAGCAGGCAGGAAAGCUUGAAUAGACGAGCAUGGAAUAACAAGAUAGGACAUUGAGAGCCUCUUGUUGGUGAAGGGGGACGGAUGUAAUGAUUAAUAGGGUCAGUUGGGGGCAUUAGUAUUCAGUAGUCAGAGGUGAAAUUCUUGGAUUUACUGAAGACUAACUAGUGCGAAAGCAUUUGCCAAGGAUGUUUUCAUUAAUCAAGAACGAAAGUUAGGGGAUCGAAGACGAUCAGAUACCGUCGUAGUCUUAACUAUAAACGAUGCCGACUAAGGAUCGGCAGGGGUCGGUUAGCGACACUGUCGGGACUUUGUGAGAAAUCAAAGUUUAUGGGUUCUGGGGGGAGUAUGGUCGCAAGGCUGAAACUUAAAGGAAUUGACGGAAGGGCACCACCAGGAGUGGAGCCUGCGGCUUAAUUUGACUCAACACGGGAAACCUUACCAGGUCCGGACAUGGAGAGGAUUGACAGAUUGAAGAUCUUUCUAGAUUCUAUGGGUGGUGGUGCAUGGCCGUUCUUAGUUGGUGGAGUGAUUUGUCUGGUUUAUUCCGUUAACGAACGAGACCUCGGCCUUUAACUAGUCCCUCUGUCCAUUACGGAUGGAGGUCACUUCUUAGAGGGACAAACGG